UACACCCUUAUCUUUACUGCUUUCAUUUUGUUUUGUUUAGUUAGUUGUGUUAUUUGGUUAAUUUCUGUGAGUUUGUGUUAUUUAGUUUAAGUGUGGGGGAAGGUUAAACAAAGUCUUUUUACAUUAAUUUACAUAUUUAAAAAAAAAAAAAACAUAAAAGUAAAAAUAUUUUACAAUGAUGUGUAAACUAAUAGCAUUCAUUGGUCAGGUGGUACUUCAGUAGUCGGCGGAGCUUCAGCAGUCGGCGGGG
This 250-nucleotide long non-coding RNA is filed under the name Malus domestica (apple). RNAcentral describes it as "long non-coding RNA (MDOM_LNC002919)". The record is from RNAcentral. Lineage: Eukaryota; Viridiplantae; Streptophyta; Magnoliopsida; Rosales; Rosaceae.